Molecule: non-coding RNA, 523 nt
Organism: Notechis scutatus (mainland tiger snake)
Lineage: Eukaryota; Metazoa; Chordata; Lepidosauria; Squamata; Elapidae
Source: RefSeq, a predicted model, not a curated record
UCAAAUGUUCUUAUUCCUUAUUCCUGUAAGUUCAUUGAGAGAGACAAUGUGGACAGGAUAACAAUUUUUCACAGAGCACGAUGUUUGUUUUGCAUGAGCAAAGAUAGGUAAACAUCUCUCUUAAUCUCUUUUGUCUUUGGAAAUCCAACAAGAUUAAUUUUUAGCUGAGUAACACAGUUGGAAGGGAAUUUUGGAGGACUUCUACUCCAACCCCCUGCCCAAGCAUGAGGCCCUGUAAUAUUUUACAUAAAUGGUUAUCCAAACUCUUCUUACAAGAUUCCAGCAAUAGAGCACCCUCAACUUCUGAAGGCAAGACAUCCCACUGAUUAAUUGUUCCAGCUUUCAUGAAAUUUCUCCUUAAUUCGAGCUUGGUCCUCUCCUUAAUGAGUUUCCAUCCAUUGUUUCUUGUCCUGCUUUCUGGUGCUUUGGAGAGUAGGUGAUCCCUGUCUUCUUUGUUGGAGCCCCUCAGAUAUUGGAAGACUGCUAUCAUGUCUCCCCUAGACCUUCUUUUCAUGAAAUUAGA